AAUUCCUAGACAGGUUGUUGAAAUAGACACAGCAGGUGGGAAGGACGAAUUAACUUCCUCGCAAGAUGCUGCUACUUGUUCCAUAGCUAUUGAUGAAAGGGUUUCAAAUAUCCACAAUAAUGAAACUUAUGAAAGAAAAGAGCUAGUGUCUUCUUCAAUGGUUAUUUCUGAAGAGUAUGUGCCGUUGGCUAUUGUAUAUGGGUUCUAUAACGG
This 213-nucleotide unclassified non-coding RNA is filed under the name Hevea brasiliensis (rubber tree). The record is from RNAcentral. Lineage: Eukaryota; Viridiplantae; Streptophyta; Magnoliopsida; Malpighiales; Euphorbiaceae.